Long non-coding RNA from Cannabis sativa, 1530 nucleotides. RefSeq lists it as uncharacterized. NCBI's taxonomy places the organism in Eukaryota, Viridiplantae, Streptophyta, Magnoliopsida, Rosales, Cannabaceae. The record is from RefSeq and is a predicted model, not a curated record. The transcript is spliced from 4 exons.
CCACUGAACUUGAACUGUGAGAUCUUAAUUGAAUUUCCAAAAACCCCAAUAGAUCCUACUUCUUUCUGGGUAUGUGAAGGAGCAAGAAAUUUUGUGGUGAAGGAAGAAGAAGAAGAAGAUGGGAACCCUAGGGAGAGCAAUAUACACUAUUGGAUUUUGGAUAACAGAGACUGGCCAGCCAAUUGAUCGCCUUGUGUUUAGGUGCCGGACUUUGAUGAAUGUGUUUGAUAAAGCUCAGGGGUCGAUAGAGGCAUUUGUUGCACCAAGUGCCCCAAUCAUUGGGUGGGAAGAGAGUAGUCUAUUUGGUAUAUGUGAGCUGGGUAGGUCAUAGUGUUGUCUUACACAACUGCACUAUUGAGGAUGAGGCUUAAUGGAGUUGUUGUGGAGAAGAAUGGCAUGGUCGGUUCCUCCAGAAGCUCUAGUCAGACAAAAUACAAGGAUCCCUGCAAGAGAGGUAUGGGGAGGUAAUCCAGCAAAGUUCAUUUUCCCAGUCAGCCACCAAUUAUACUAACCUUGUACAAGUCCAUGCAGCUGAGAAUGCCAAACCUUUUAAGAAGAUUGAGUUUGAGAAGGUUCUCUGCAAGAAGUUUGCUGGUCGAGUCGAGAUGAGGACCGUGAUGUGAUUCAAUUCUAGGUGAAACAUCCCUAGAAUUGGUUCUCCCAGAUAAUAUCCUACUAGAAAAAGCACCAAAAAUUUUUUAACAUGAGUUUCAUGUCUCUUUUUUAUUUGAUUUUUCUUUAGUUUAAAUUUUGACAUGAAGGGAUAUUUCAUCUCAUGUUCAAAUACAUGGAAAGGGGAUUACUUUCUUUUCCAAUAAUCCUGACAAAUUUUCAGGGAGGAUCGGAUUCUACAAUCCAACCAUAUUUUCUUACUGCUAUGUUACAAAGAAUUGGAUUGUGCCUAAAAUUUUAUUUCCAUUUUUAUGUUAAAAAUUUGAAAUAAAAUUUAAUUUUACAAAAAUCUAAUUUCAAAUUUUUUAAUCAUUUAUAAAAUUUAAAAAAAAAAUGGUUUAUAAAAUAGCUUCAUAAAUUAUAUUAAUGUUAAGGUAUCUUAUGUUGUAGUAAAACUUUUCCUUUCUUUUUUCAGGGUUUCAUCCCUAUCUCUACCCGUGAGUUCUUUCUUUGACUUUCUAACCAGAGCUCCGUCAGCCUUCCUUGGGCUUUGGUGUGGCUCUAGUCGGGUGUGGGUGUUUGUAUUUGUGUUUGUACGCACAAGGACCUCUUGGUCCUUUCUUGGGAUUCCAUGGCCUUUUUUUUUUCUUUUCAACCGUUUGUUGCCUUUCUUUGACAGGUUGUGUGACUAUCAAAGAUUCGAUGACCUUUCAGAAGUUUUGUAUUUCCAAUUGAGGGUGGCGUUGUCAGAAUUGCAGUGGUGUUGUAAAGAUCGCUUAAUUUUGUUAUGGAAAUUAGCAGAUAAUUAGGGCUUAAUUAUGAAACUAGAAUAUUAAUUUUGAUUUAUUAUUUUAUGGAGAUUUAUUUGAAUUCAGGGUGUAUUAUUCAUGGCAUAUAUGGAAUUUUAUAUUUUUACAU